Molecule: small RNA, 67 nt
Filed under: Kurthia zopfii
Lineage: Bacteria; Bacillati; Bacillota; Bacilli; Caryophanales; Caryophanaceae
Description: Bacillaceae-1 RNA
Rfam family: Bacillaceae-1 RNA
Source: RNAcentral
AAUUAAGGAACAUCGACUAAGAACCGCACGUCCUGUGCGAACGUCGAUGGAUCUCACAUCGUGUGAG